CCUACGGGGGGCUGCAGUCAAGAAUCUUCCUCAAUGGCCGAAAGGCUGAAGGAGCGACGCCGCGUGAUCGAAGAAGCCCUUCGGGGUGUAAAGAUCUUUUGUUAGGGAAUAAGCCCCUCCCCAGUUUUUGCAACUACAGUUGCAAAAACUGGGGAGGGGUUGAAGGUACCUAGCGAAUAAGGGGCUGCUAAACUCGUGCCAGCAGCAGCGGUAAUACGAGUGCCCCGAGCGUUAUCCGAAUUUAUUGGGCGUAAAGCGUCCGCAGGCGGUUUAUCACAUCUUCUGUUAAAUCUUCCCGCUUAACGGGAAAACCGCGGAAGAGAUGGAUAAACUAGAGACUGGGAGAGGUAAGCGGAAUUGCUGGUGUAGGGGUUAAAUCCGUUAAUAUCAGCAGGAACACCAAAUGCGAAGGCAGCUUACUGGAACAGUUCUGACGCUCAUGGACGAAAGCGUGGGGAGAGAAUGGGAUUAGAUACCCCUGUAGUC
RNAcentral lists this ribosomal RNA (486 nucleotides) under uncultured microorganism. RNAcentral describes it as "bacterial SSU rRNA". It matches the Rfam family "Bacterial small subunit ribosomal RNA", at positions 338 to 795 of the family's 1533-position model. The record is from RNAcentral.